AUUGAACGCUGGCGGCAGGCCUAACACAUGCAAGUCGAGCGGGUGAAGCGAGCUUGCUCCUGGAUUCAGCGGCGGACGGGUGAGUAAUGCCUAGGAAUCUGCCUGGUAGUGGGGGAUAACGUCCGGAAACGGGCGCUAAUACCGCAUACGUCCUGAGGGAGAAAGUGGGGGAUCUUCGGACCUCACGCUAUCAGAUGAGCCUAGGUCGGAUUAGCUAGUUGGUGGGGUAAAGGCCUACCAAGGCGACGAUCCGUAACUGGUCUGAGAGGAUGAUCAGUCACACUGGAACUGAGACACGGUCCAGACUCCUACGGGGGGCAGCAGUGGGGAAUAUUGGACAAUGGGCGAAAGCCUGAUCCAGCCAUGCCGCGUGUGUGAAGAAGGUCUUCGGAUUGUAAAGCACUUUAAGUUGGGAGGAAGGGCAGUAAGUUAAUACCUUGCUGUUUUGACGUUACCAACAGAAUAAGCACCGGCUAACUUCGUG
This 484-nucleotide ribosomal RNA is filed under the name uncultured bacterium. RNAcentral's name for it is "partial 16S ribosomal RNA". It matches the Rfam family "Bacterial small subunit ribosomal RNA", at positions 30 to 507 of the family's 1533-position model. The record is from RNAcentral.